This 1392-nucleotide long non-coding RNA is filed under the name Betta splendens (Siamese fighting fish). Its description in RNAcentral is "lncRNA (ENSBSLG00000000453.1)". Lineage: Eukaryota; Metazoa; Chordata; Actinopteri; Anabantiformes; Osphronemidae. The record is from RNAcentral.
CAGGAUUAGUUCAGUGAGAGCAGUGGAACUUAGACUGUGACACCUGUUUUCAUACAGAAUAUUAACUGCAGUCAUGUUGUUUGCAUAAAACAAAUACCCCCAGCUGACUGUACAGAAGCCUGAUUGUACGUUUCUGAGCCUCGCAGUCAUAACCAGACUUCACGGUUCAGUGCUGUUCACUUCCUGUUCAUCUCACAGGUAAGUGUGACAUAUGUUACCACCUAACAGUACUGUUCCAUUAGUGUAAGAAUGGGAUUGUUCUAAUUAUUUCCUUUUACUGUAAAAAUGGUAGAAAACAAGUUGUUUGUUGGAUAGUCGUUCUAUUGUUACACGUAACCGAAUUUAUAUUGUAUAUUUUACCUAAUCAUCAUUUAAUUCCAUCCAACCUAAAAAACUUGGUCAUGUGAAGAGAGGAAUGUCUGUCAUCAGUACAGCAUUUGUAUUGUGUUUGUUUGGAUUUGGUUUUCUGACAUAAGACAAAGAUCAUCUUCACACUAAAAUGUGUUUGCCUUUUAUUUUAUCAGUCACAAGCUCAGAGAAUGAUGGUCCCCUUAUUACUGUUACUGUUGCUGCCGGGAUCACUGGCUGAAACAGAUACAGUUUGUUUCAGUUUUUCAAACAGUGCCAUCAAUGUCACUGCAUCAAAUGUGGAGGUUCUCGAACAUAAAGAUUACAUGACGUGCGACAUCACAGGACUGGCCUGCCACUUUCAGUGCACGUUCAUAAAGAAGCUCAACGAAUCGGUUGAUUGCAUAGAGGCUGAUGUUAAAAAUUCCGGUGACAAGAUUGACUAUCACUUAAAAAAUAAUACCAACUGCACCAUUUUCCUAUGCAACAAGACGACCAUCCUGACGAUGAUUAAAUCACUGCAUUGUAACAGCGAUGACCAGAAGGAAAUGAUGCAACUCUUCAAUGUAAGGGCGUCAUGUCCAGACCUCUUCAACAAGGACCUUGACAUCAAGGAAGCCUUUAUAACAGUGGAAAAAAGUAUGAUCCAUGAGAUCAUGGGAACCUCUCAACCCAAGCCUGGGGACACCAUAAACUACAAUCUGAAUUUUCUAGCUCUAAACGUGUUGAGCAUCAGUGAGGGUGAACUCAGCUCUGUACCAACCACAGGCAGUAUCCAGAAGGAAGUGCCACAGCUCUUGCCUCAGAAUCCUUCACGUAUCCCUAAAGUAUGGCUGCCAACACAUGCACUGAGCUCCAUCCCCGAGGAGAAGAGGGUCAUCAGUUUGGUCAACUACUUGCAGCACAGCCCCUACCAAUUUAGAAAUGAAGAGAUCUCAUCAGCGAUCCUGAGGAUAGAACCACUAGACGAACACCCAUUUCAGAAUCUCGUUCCGCCCAUCAAAAUGCGUUUUAGGGUCGAUACAGACGGAGCUAUGGAUAAUG